This 424-nucleotide ribosomal RNA is filed under the name uncultured archaeon. RNAcentral describes it as "bacterial SSU rRNA". It matches the Rfam family "Archaeal small subunit ribosomal RNA", at positions 322 to 746 of the family's 1478-position model. The record is from RNAcentral.
CCUACGGGGUGCACCAGGCGCGAAAACUUUACAAUGCUGGCAACAGCGAUAAGGGAACCUCGAGUGCCAGGUUACAAAUCUGGCUGUCGAGAUGCCUAAAAAGCAUUUCAUAGCAAGGGCCGGGCAAGACCGGUGCCAGCCGCCGCGGUAACACCGGCGGCUCGAGUGGUAACCGUUAUUAUUGGGUCUAAAGGGUCUGUAGCCGGCCGGAUAAGUCUCUUGAGAAAUCUGGCAGCUUAACUGUCAGGCUUUCAGGAGAUACUGUCUGGCUCGAGGCCGGGAGAGGUGAGAGGUACUUCAGGGGUAGGGGUGAAAUCUUGUAAUCCUUGAAGGACCACCAGUGGCGAAGGCGUCUCACCAGAACGGACCUGACGGCAAGGGACGAAAGCUAGGGGCACGAACCGGAUUAGAUACCCCUGUAGUC